AGUAACGCGUGGAUAACCUGCCUUACACUGGGGGAUAACACUUAGAAAUAGGUGCUAAUACCGCAUAAGCGCACAGCUUCGCAUGAAGUGGUGUGAAAAACUCUGGUGGUAUACGAUGGUUCCGCGUCUGAUUAGCUUGUUGGUGGGGUAAUGGCUCACCAAGGCGAUGAUCAGUAGCCGGCCUGAGAGGGUGAACGGCCACAUUGGGACUGAGACACGGCCCAAACUCCUACGGGAGGCAGCAG
Molecule: ribosomal RNA, 245 nt
Filed under: uncultured bacterium
Lineage: Bacteria
Description: partial 16S ribosomal RNA
Rfam family: Bacterial small subunit ribosomal RNA
Source: RNAcentral